Lathyrus oleraceus (garden pea) is the source of this 740-nucleotide long non-coding RNA. RefSeq lists it as uncharacterized. Lineage: Eukaryota; Viridiplantae; Streptophyta; Magnoliopsida; Fabales; Fabaceae. The transcript is spliced from 2 exons. The record is from RefSeq and is a predicted model, not a curated record.
GGCCUUAGGCCCAAACCGGAUCCAAGGAUGCAAGGAAAAGAGGAGAAUGCUCAUAACUGAGCUGAAAAAAUGCUUUGUAAAAAAGCUGAAGCGAAAGGAACGAAGGAAAAACGCUUUGCAGAAAAGCUUAGUGUCAGCAACGUGUUCUUCACAAAUUCGGCAUCGCGUUUUGUUCAUCAAUUCUUCGCAUCAUCAUCGCGGACGUGGAUUGCAUCAUCGUGUCAUGAUUUGCGUCUCAUGGAGCGUGAUCUAAUCAGAGUUCUUCACUCAUGUUCGUGUUUCAACCUUCUCCGCUCAUGCUCGCAUUUGGAAUUCAACCGAAUCGCAACCAAAAUGCUCGAAUCAUAGCAAAGAGGUGGAAGAAAAUUUACCAAACUUUGAGCUCCGGCACGGUGGCACAAACACAUACUGACUCUUUCUCUGCCUUGCUCUGCUUCUGUUCCGACGUACUCAUGGCAUGAUCAAGGCUUACCUACGAAGUGUUCUAGCAUGGCAUCAUGUGGAAUUUUAUUGAAAACACCAAAAUCAAGAAAAUGGAGGAUAAAGAUGGGAUGAUGAAUCAAAAAAGGGAAAUUAAGAUUUUAAAAUUAGGUGGUGUUGACUUUGGUCUACUGUUGAUCAAAAAGUAAGUAGUUGAUUAAAAAGUCAACCUUACCAAAAUCUUUAUUUUUUUUUGUAAAUUGUUGUAUGAAUAAUGUAAAAUGUUUUAUAUGAAUAUGAUGGUCAAUUUUGAAUGAAAA